Molecule: ribosomal RNA, 307 nt
Filed under: uncultured microorganism
Description: bacterial SSU rRNA
Rfam family: Archaeal small subunit ribosomal RNA
Source: RNAcentral
GUGCAGCAGGCGAGAAACCUUCGCAAUGCGCGAAAGCGCGACGAGGGGACUCCGAGUGCCUAUGCUCAGCAUAGGCUGUUCACCGGUGUAAAAGCCGGUGGAGGAAGGGGUGGACAAGACUGGUGCCAGCCGCCGCGGUAAUACCAGCGCCCCAAGUGGUGAUCGAUAUUAUUGGGUCUAAAACGUCCGUAGCCGGCCCGGUAAAUCUCCGGGUAAAUCGUCCAGCUUAACUGGUCGAAUUCUGGGGAGACUGCCGGGCUUGGGACCGGGAGAGGUCGGAGGGCACUCCGAGGGGUAGGGGUAGAAA